RNAcentral lists this ribosomal RNA (312 nucleotides) under Escherichia coli. RNAcentral describes it as "partial 23S ribosomal RNA". It matches the Rfam family "Bacterial large subunit ribosomal RNA", at positions 1085 to 1396 of the family's 2925-position model. The record is from RNAcentral. RNAcentral also lists the same sequence under 1 other name. Lineage: Bacteria; Pseudomonadati; Pseudomonadota; Gammaproteobacteria; Enterobacterales; Enterobacteriaceae.
CCAGACAGCCAGGAUGUUGGCUUAGAAGCAGCCAUCAUUUAAAGAAAGCGUAAUAGCUCACUGGUCGAGUCGGCCUGCGCGGAAGAUGUAACGGGGCUAAACCAUGCACCGAAGCUGCGGCAGCGACACUAUGUGUUGUUGGGUAGGGGAGCGUUCUGUAAGCCUGUGAAGGUGUACUGUGAGGUAUGCUGGAGGUAUCAGAAGUGCGAAUGCUGACAUAAGUAACGAUAAAGCGGGUGAAAAGCCCGCUCGCCGGAAGACCAAGGGUUCCUGUCCAACGUUAAUCGGGGCAGGGUGAGUCGACCCCUAAGG